UAAGUGUGAAGAACUGGAGUCCACUAACUGUUGAUUAUCCUGUAGCUGGUCUAUACACCAUUGGGGGUGUGACAGGCAAUAAUGUCCAGCAGAGCAGGUAACCUAACCACCAACCCUUCUCUAUAAGAGCUCUGAUGUUGCAGACUACCAAAGGACAGACAAGGCCCAUUGCAACGGUUAACUGCCUGGGGCCCUACACUCUGUCCCCAAUUCUGGCCACCAGGGUUCUGGAUCACAAUGUUCCACCGUGGGUCCUGACUACUGAGAACACUACCGGGCUAAACAUGUUCAAAGACAUAUGUCACUUAUCAUUCUACUGAUACCAAACAUGCACCUGUGU
This is a long non-coding RNA of Esox lucius (northern pike), 340 nucleotides long. RefSeq lists it as uncharacterized. The record is from RefSeq and is a predicted model, not a curated record. The transcript has 3 exons. NCBI's taxonomy places the organism in Eukaryota, Metazoa, Chordata, Actinopteri, Esociformes, Esocidae.